Molecule: ribosomal RNA, 376 nt
Filed under: uncultured bacterium
Lineage: Bacteria
Description: bacterial SSU rRNA
Rfam family: Bacterial small subunit ribosomal RNA
Source: RNAcentral
UACGUAGGGGGCGAGCGUUGUCCGGAUUUACUGGGCGUAAAGCGCGUGUAGGUGGCCACAUAAGUCGGGUGUGAAAGCCCGGGGCUCAACCCCGGGAUGCCGCCCGAGACUGUGCGGCUUGAGGACGGAAGAGGGGAGUGGAAUUCCUGGUGUAGCGGUGAAAUGCGUAGAGAUCAGGAGGAACACCCGUGGCGAAGGCGGCUCCCUGGUCCGUCCCUGACGCUGAGACGCGAAAGCGCGGGGAGCGAACGGGAUUAGAUACCCCGGUAGUCCGCGCCGUAAACGAUGGUCACUAGGUGUGCGUGGUAUCGACACCACGCGUGCCGUCGCUAACGCAAUAAGUGACCCGCCUGGGGAGUACGGCCGCAAGGUUGAA